Molecule: RNA transcript, 2535 nt
Organism: Olea europaea var. sylvestris
Lineage: Eukaryota; Viridiplantae; Streptophyta; Magnoliopsida; Lamiales; Oleaceae
Gene name: serine/threonine protein phosphatase 2A 57 kDa regulatory subunit B' theta isoform-like
Exons: 3
Source: RefSeq, a predicted model, not a curated record
CAAGAAAUUGGAGAAUGGUCCAAGAGAAAUUUCCAAGUCAACAAACAACAACAAGAGCAAAAGGAAAUGCUAAAAGCACAUUCAAGGACAAAGAAUCUCUGCUUUGCAUUGCUAUUCUCAACUCUUUUCUCUAAGCACUUCCCAACAAUCCUCUCUUUUUUAUGUUCUGAAAGAACACUUUCAUAAGAAAAGCUUCUUUUUGUCAGAGUAUGGUGCUUGGUGGUGGACUUACAUACUUUUGCUUAUAAUUUUUUUUUUUUUUUGUAUGUUUAUUGGGAUUGAAUAUUUACAUUUGUUUCUGUUUAUUGUCUUUUCUUUAGGUGAUUUAGCCAGUGGGAGGUUUAGCAAUUUAAGUAAAAAGAUUGAAAUUCUGGGUUCUGGGUUUUGUUGACAAGUUGAGGAUUUACUUAAUAGGGGAUUGAGAAAUUAGGGGGAUUUUUUUAUUUUUGUGGUUCAGAUUGGGUUUAUGUAUCUGGGCCGUCUCUUUAUAAACUACUUUUUUGAUUGAUGAUGUUUUCUUGUUGAAAAAAGUGAUUAUUUUGUCCUUUUUCUUUGAAAAGUGUUAAAGACAACGGAUGCCUGUUUGUUUUCUCAAGGUUUCUCAUAAUUCAGCUUCUUGGUGAGUCUAAUUAAUUUCUCUCAUAUUUGAUCAUUUUACAUCCAAGUUUGUAGCUGUAUUAGUAUACUUCAAUUUCAUUCUUUGUGAAUUUGUGGGUGGAAUUUGGGUGAUCCAAUUGAAAUAUGCUAAAACAGAUACUGCAUAAGAUUUCUGUUAAACAUUUGAAAUCGGGUAAAGACCAUGACCUCUCUUCAAGUUCUUCGACGAAGAGAAGUGAAGCAGGAAGUAAAAAAUUAAGUAGUGCAGUCAAUGAAGUUAUUUCAGCCCCUCAUUCUGUAGUAAGCAAUGGGAAUAAUCCAGAAGAUGAGUUUUUUCGAGAUAAGAAGUCAAAAGGAAAUGGAAAUUCGGUUCCUGUGUUGUACGAAUCCUUGCCAAGUUUUAGGGAAGUCGCUUCUUCUGAGAAGCAAAAUUUGUUUAUUAGAAAGCUGAAAUUUUGUUGUAAUCUAUAUGACUUCACUGAUCCUGCGAAGAACCUCAGAGAAAAGGAGAUCAAGCGGUUGACAUUGUUGGAGCUAGUGGAGUACGUGACUUCUGCAAAUGUCAAGUUCACGGAACUCGAAUUUCAAGAAGUCAUUAACAUGGCAUCGAUUAAUAUAUUUAGGGAAUUCACUCCUCAGCCGAGGGAGAACAAUAUUUUAGAUGGUCUUGAAUUGGAAGAGGAUGAGCCUGCAAUGGAUCCUGCAUGGCCUCAUUUGCAACUUGUCUAUGAAUUUCUGCUAUUGAUGGUAGUUUCACCCGAAACAGAUGCAAAAGUUGCUAAAGGAUACAUUGAUAAAUCCUUUGUUCUCAAAUUGCUCGAUCUAUUUGACUCUGAAGAUCCUAGAGAAAGGGAAUACUUGAAAACUAUACUACACCGCAUUUACGGGAAGUUUAUGGUUCUCCGGCCCUUCAUCAGGAUCGCUAUAAACAAUAUAUUCUAUGUGUUUAUUUUCGAGACUGAAAAGCAUAAUGGCAUUGCUGAACUUUUGGAAAUUCUCGGGAGCAUAAUCAAUGGAUUUUCUUUGCCACUAAAAAAAGAACAUAAACUCUUUCUUCAGCGAACGCUAAUACCCCUGCACAAACCGAAAUGUUUGGCGAUGUACCACCUACAGCUAUCUUACUGUAUGGCGCAGUUUUUAGAGAAAGACUGGAAGCUUGCUGAUAUGGUUACGAGGGGAUUGUUGAAGUACUGGCCAGUUACUAAUAGCUCGAAGGAAGUCUUGUUCCUUAAUGAGCUGGAGGAAGUUUUAGAAGCAACAAGGCCACCAGAAUUCCAACGAUUUAUGGUGCCUUUGUUUCAUCAAAUUUCUCAUUGCUUGAAUAGUUUGCACUCUCAGCGUACACCUGUGGAUCGAAGUGCCAACAAAAGGAAAACACAUAGUUGACAUAAAACAAAUUAGACAUGAAAUUCUCACACAUGCUCGAGGCUUGUGAAGGAAUUGUCCCUCACGUUUUGGAAAUUUAUGAAAAGAAAACAUAAAAUUAGGACACGCCAUAAGACAAUUCAGACGUGUCUGAGAGUGUUCAAAGUCCGAAAAUUCACCAUAGGAAUGGUGUCGGUGCUUCACAGGAGGGCAUGUAUAGAUUCUGUAAAUGCAUCGGCUUGCUUAUUCUUGGUAAUCAGUUCCAUGCGUCAAAUCAUAAGCUGCGAGACUGCAUAAUAAAAUAUGGAGCUAGACAUUGGCUUUGCCAGUUCUAAGUUCUAACAUACGGAAUUUGUCAUUGAUGUUGGUAUGGCAAAGAGUAUGAGCGGCAUUGUUCUGAUGGCUCCAUCUUUGGCAGUUUAAAGGAUGUGUAUUCUCCUUUUGGAGGGCUAGAGCUUGUUAUUGUACUGUAAUGGCUUUCGAGGUGGCGGAGAGGGCUUUGCUAUUGUGGAACAAUGAUCGCAUCGAGUAUCUAAUCAGACAAAACCGUGCAGUUAUACUGCCUAUAAUCUU